GAUGAACGCUGGCGGCGUGCCUAAUACAUGCAAGUAGAACGCUGAAGGAAGGAGCUUGCUCUUUCCGGGUGAGUUGCGAACGGGUGAGUAACGCGUAGGUAACCUGCCUGGUAGCGGGGGAUAACUAUUGGAAACGAUAGCUAAUACCGCAUAACAGUAGAUGUUGCAUGAUAUCUACUUAAAAGGUGCAAUUGCACCACUACCAGAUGGACCUGCGUUGUAUUAGCUAGUUGGUGAGGUAACGGCUCACCAAGGCGACGAUACAUAGCCGACCUGAGAGGGUGAUCGGCCACACUGGGACUGAGACACGGCCCAGACUCCUACGGGAGGCAGCAGUAGGGAAUCUUCGGCAAUGGACGGAAGUCUGACCGAGCAACGCCGCGUGAGUGAAGAAGGGUUUCGGAUCGUAAAGCUCUGUUGUAAGAGAAGAACGAGUGUGAGAGUGGAAAGUUCACACUGUGACGGUAUCUUACCAGAAAGGGACGGCUAACUACGUG
This 497-nucleotide ribosomal RNA is filed under the name uncultured bacterium. Its description in RNAcentral is "partial 16S ribosomal RNA". It matches the Rfam family "Bacterial small subunit ribosomal RNA", at positions 28 to 507 of the family's 1533-position model. The record is from RNAcentral.